RNAcentral lists this unclassified non-coding RNA (353 nucleotides) under uncultured fungus. RNAcentral's name for it is "partial contains 5.8S ribosomal RNA, internal transcribed spacer 2, and large subunit ribosomal RNA". The record is from RNAcentral. Lineage: Eukaryota; Fungi.
AACGCACCUUGCACCAUAUGAGCAAUUGUAUGGUAUACCUGUUUGAGAAUCGUAAACCUCCUCACUUACUCUCGUAGUAAGUGGAUGUGUCGGCUUAUCAGUGAUGAUAUCCGAUUAAAUACAUUAGGUCUAGAGCAGGCUGGUGGCCUGGGACACUGUGUGCUAGAGACUAGCAGUCUUAACCGACUGGUCUGUCUUCUCACGGUGCGUCCCGGGUCAUUCAAAGCUGGCCUGCAAAGGACCUUAACUGCGCACAGCAGCAUGACCUGCGCGUUAAACCGCGCAUGACACGCCGCGCUGUGGCAACCUUUCUCUUUGAUCUCAAAUCAGGUAAGGCUACCCGCUGAACUUAA